RNAcentral lists this ribosomal RNA (1110 nucleotides) under Photorhabdus luminescens subsp. mexicana. RNAcentral describes it as "Photorhabdus sp. MEX47-22 partial 23S ribosomal RNA". It matches the Rfam family "Bacterial large subunit ribosomal RNA", at positions 455 to 1448 of the family's 2925-position model. Lineage: Bacteria; Pseudomonadati; Pseudomonadota; Gammaproteobacteria; Enterobacterales; Morganellaceae. The record is from RNAcentral.
AUCCUCCAAGGCUAAAUACUCCUGACUGACCGAUAGUGAACCAGUACCGUGAGGGAAAGGCGAAAAGAACCCCGGCGAGGGGAGUGAAAGAGAACCUGAAACCGUGUACGUACAAGCAGUGGGAGCCCCACCACCAAAGCGUUUCGCUUUGCGUGGUGCACAAAAUGCGUAACGACAUCACUGAUGCGCGGUUGGCGGAGCGACAGCGACGCCCAACACAAUCAUCAAGCAGUGGAGCGUUUUGGGGUGGGGUGACUGCGUACCUUUUGUAUAAUGGGUCAGCGACUUAUAUUCUGUAGCAAGGUUAACCGGAUAGGGGAGCCGCAGGGAAACCGAGUCUUAACUGGGCGAAAUGAGUUGCAGGGUAUAGACCCGAAACCCGGUGAGCUAGCCAUGGGCAGGUUGAAGGUUGGGUAACACUAACUGGAGGACCGAACCGACUAAUGUUGAAAAAUUAGCGGAUGACUUGUGGCUGGGGGUGAAAGGCCAAUCAAACCGGGAGAUAGCUGGUUCUCCCCGAAAGCUAUUUAGGUAGCGCCUCGUGAAUUCAUCUUCGGGGGUAGAGCACUGUUUCGGCUAGGGGGCCAUCCCGGCUUACCAACCCGAUGCAAACUGCGAAUACCGAAGAAUGGUAUCACGGGAGACACACGGCGGGUGCUAACGUCCGUCGUGAAGAGGGAAACAACCCAGACCGCCAGCUAAGGUCCCGAAGUCAUGGUUAAGUGGGAAACGAUGUGGGAAGGCCCAGACAGCCAGGAUGUUGGCUUAGAAGCAGCCAUCAUUGAAAGAAAGCGUAAUAGCUCACUGGUCGAGUCGGCCUGCGCGGAAGAUGUAACGGGGCUAAACCAUGCGCCGAAGCUGCGGCAGCGACAUGUAAGUGUCGUUGGGUAGGGGAGCGUUCUGUAAGCCGGUGAAGGCGGCGCCGUGAGGCCUGCUGGAGGUAUCAGAAGUGCGAAUGCUGACAUAAGUAACGAUAAAGCGGGUGAAAAACCCGCUCGCCGGAAGACCAAGGGUUCCUGUCCAACGUUAAUCGGGGCAGGGUGAGUCGACCCCUAAGGCGAGGCCGAAAGGCGUAGCUGAUGGGAAACAGGUUAAUAUUCCUGUACUGAA